Molecule: long non-coding RNA, 602 nt
Filed under: Centruroides sculpturatus (bark scorpion)
Lineage: Eukaryota; Metazoa; Arthropoda; Arachnida; Scorpiones; Buthidae
Description: uncharacterized LOC111624301, transcript variant X1
Source: RNAcentral
AAUACUUUUUCCCUCUAAAAGUGAGGGGAAAAAAUAUCGUCUGCUGCUACUGAAAAUCGGAAUUUGCUCAGCCGACGACGAAACGAUUUUUCCUGCGAAAUAAAGAGUCGUUAUCUGUUUGUUGCGAAUGAGAAUUUGGAAAUGAAAUGUGCUUAACGCGAUUAUUCAUCAACAUUUAUAUAUAAGAAAAGUAUUGAGAAGGACAUGUUUCACGUCUGAUAAUGGCGUCAGUUAACCGGAUCAGUGAAGGUUGGGAGAGUGACUGUGCUCCGGUCCAAUUUCAAUGGAUGAAAAUAAAUUAAUAUCUAUUUAGAAAAAAUUACAUUUGAGUUUUAAAAAGUUAGGGGAAGAUGAAAAAUUAACAGAGCAGAGAAGAAACCAGAAUCUCUUCAAGUGCAAAACUUGUUUUAAUCAACUAAAACAAAAAGAAUCCUCUUCGGAAGAGAGAAUAAUUGAAUGCAGCUUUCUAUGGAAACUUACAGCAGAAAAAACAUUCGAAAUUACAAAGAACUGAAAUAAGAGACUUAUAUAUUUAGUUAUACUUGACUAGAGUUUAACAACUCUACUAUUUUUUCACAAAUUAAAGACAAAGUCGCUCUAAA